UCAACCCUGAAAUCUGAGAUGGGAUGAAUUCAGGUUUAUUCAUUCAUAUUCUCUUUCUCUCUGUGCUUUCUGUCUCUUUCUCUAUUUCUAUAGUGACAAGUCCGUUGACUCUGGACACUAACUCCGCCCAUCCUCUCCUGAGCAUUUCUGAUGGCCUGCGGUCAGCUAUGCGGGUCAAACACCGCCUUCCGUGUGCCACUCACCCCGACCGCUUCGAUCACUGGGCUCAAGUCCUGACUGUCCAGACAUUCUCCUCUGGAACCCAUUACUGGGAGCUGGAGGCAGAAGGCUUCUGGGACAUUGCGGUGACCUACCGGAGCAUCGGGCGGAAGGGGAAGGUGGGCAAUGCCUUUGGAAAUAACAAGAUGUCUUGGAGCUUGACACAGCAGCAUGAUAGAAAGCUAGCCGCCUGGCACAACCGCAGGAAGACACGCAUCUCCAGUCGAAUGUCGGGCAACCGUGUUGGCGUGGCCCUGGACUAUGGCGCAGGCACCAUCACCUUCUCCGAGGUGGGGCCAUCCAACACCCUGACCCACCUGCACAACUUCACCACCUCCUUCAGCCAGCCCGUGUGCCUGGGCUUUGGCCUCUACAAAGCUGAACUCCAUAGCAGAAUCUCCAUAGUGAGGGUGUGAGAGAUCAUCAGGAACCAGAGAAUUAGAAUGGGGUGGGAGCUCAAGGAUAGAGACUUUGUGGGAGGUUUCCUUCUGGAACAUCUCCCGGGACCUCAUGGGGGAUUGGACGAUGAACAAUAGAGCUUGUGUGAGCAUGACAAAUGGUAAGACUACAUUCUUACAGAGCUCAGGACUCAAAGUACUAUGAACUAUGACUUUGAAUCAGUAAGGAAUGGAUGUGUAUGUCCUACUUUUGUCACAGUUUGGGGGAAUUUGAAAGACCCAAGCAACUUGGACCCAAGAGAGAGUUUUAAUCAAAUACAUCCAAACUACAGGACAAUAUUCUAAAGAAAAUGUAACAUUCAGUGGAUAGUUCUAGAUUCUUGUGAUGUAACAUAGCUAUGGGGUCCCUUUUCCUUUUCUGAGUUUGUUUAGACUAUUUUUUCUUUGGGGCACUCAUGUACCAAGCUAAAUAACCCAAAUAGUGUUGAGAAAAAAGAGAUGGAAGGUGUGUGGACUGAACCAUAUUGUAGUAUAGAUAACAGAAUCAUCAGACAUUAGAAUCUUUCACAAAAGUGAAAUUAUGUAGGCCAUUAUAUUGAAAGGGAUUCGCUGGAAGAUGCUCAAGGUAGAUUCACAUGCUUUAAAUCAAUGCCAUAGUCCGUGUCAGACUAAACAAUGUCACAAAAUUACCUUCAACAUUAAAACAUCUCAGAUGCAAUACUUGCACUGUCACUUUUCAUUGUUAGAGAGAAAAUGAGUAGGUGGGUGAGUGACAGAGAAUUAAAGAGUGUGUGAGAGAGAGAGAGAGAGAGAGAGAGAGCGAGGGAGAGAGAGAGAUAACACAGUGGGUCCUCUGGCAUGGCCAUUUAGAUGCCUGUUUCAAAGGGAGGUCUCUGUGAUCCUGUAGAAUGUGAGAGAAGAGAGUAGAAAGUGGUUAUGAGGAAUAUGUGACUAUCACUCCAUCUCCAAGGAGCAAAAUUGUACUUCACCCGAUAUGGAAAAUAAGGACGACACCUUUCAAACUGAAACAGGUCCUGUGUGAUGAUGCAGUAGAUUGGAACGCACACAAACGUCUAUUUGCCCAUGCUAUCCUGCCACCUACUGCCACUGUUGCAAACCAGCACAGAAUCACAGGAGAGAUAUCCAUGAGAACAGAGUGAGAGAGAUAGAGGGAGGGAAGGACAGACAGAUAGUGUGGGGUAAAUAGAGGGAGAGACUGUAUGUUGACUUCGUCGACUUCUGCUGAACACUGAUAACUCCAAACCCUCCUGGUUGUCAGUCUGUGAGUCCUACCUGUUGACAAACCUCUAUAUUUAUUACUGGGAGACUUCCUACAUAUCGUCUAGGUGGGAUAGGAGACCGCUGUCAUAGAACAGGGUGGUGGACCAAGUCCAACCAAUUGAGGACACUAAUGAUCCUGCUGAAUAUCAGCUACAACAUCAAUUGUGAGACAUUUUAGGACCUGAGUGACACGAGAGAAUAUUUAGCGUUUUAAAUCUAUUUAGCCUGGGCAUAUUUAUCUAUGUCUGUAAUCUUUCCAUACUAGAAUUAAUAACAGAUAUACAAUCAAAACAAAGACAGUUAAAAGCAUGUAUCCCA
Oncorhynchus mykiss (rainbow trout) is the source of this 2216-nucleotide non-coding RNA. The record is from RefSeq and is a predicted model, not a curated record. NCBI's taxonomy places the organism in Eukaryota, Metazoa, Chordata, Actinopteri, Salmoniformes, Salmonidae.